RNAcentral lists this long non-coding RNA (487 nucleotides) under Malus domestica (apple). RNAcentral describes it as "long non-coding RNA (MDOM_LNC007853)". Lineage: Eukaryota; Viridiplantae; Streptophyta; Magnoliopsida; Rosales; Rosaceae. The record is from RNAcentral.
CUAUCUUCUUCCCACUCUCCAUUUCUCUCUCCCUCUCUCUCUCAGACCUCGAAAAUCCACAACAAUGGCUGCCACUCUCUCCACACUCACAUUGGGCACUCCCUCCUACCCCGCCGCAACCUCCGCCUCCUCCUUCCCCUCCCACUCCCCCAAACCCACCCUCCAAUUCCCCUUCAACCCCCAAAACCCUACCCUCACCCACCGCGCCACCCACAUACGCCCCCUCGCCGCCGUCGGAGCCCCGGAAAAGAUCGAGAAACUCGGCACCGACAUCUCCAGCCUCACCCUCGAGGAGGCCCGCAUCCUCGUCGACUACCUCCAGGACAAGCUCGGUGUCUCCGCCGCGGCUCUUGCCCCAGCCGCCGCGGUGGCUGUGGCGCCAGGAGCGGCCGAAGGCCCCGCCGUCGUGGAGGAGAAGACGGAGUUCGAUGUCGUCAUCGAGGACGUGCCGAGCAACGCGAGAAUCGCGGUGAUUAAGGCGGUGAGG